GUGUCAGCCGCCGCGGUAAUACAGGGGGUGCAAACGUUGCUCGGAAUUAUUGGGCGUAAAGCGCGCGUAGGCGGCUACUUAUGUCGGAUGUGAAAGCCCUUGGCUCAACUGAGGAAGCGCACCCGAAACUGAGUAGCUGGAGUACGAAAGAGGGUCGCGGAAUUCCCGGUGUAGAGGUGAAAUUCGUAGAUAUCGGGAGGAACACCGGUGGCGAAGGCGGCGACCUGGGUCGAUACUGACGCUGAGGCGCGAAAGCGUGGGGAGCAAACAGGAUUAGAUACCCUCGUAGUCC
This 292-nucleotide ribosomal RNA is filed under the name uncultured bacterium. RNAcentral describes it as "partial 16S ribosomal RNA". It matches the Rfam family "Bacterial small subunit ribosomal RNA", at positions 505 to 796 of the family's 1533-position model. The record is from RNAcentral.